This is a long non-coding RNA of Cairina moschata (Muscovy duck), 3697 nucleotides long. The record is from Ensembl. NCBI's taxonomy places the organism in Eukaryota, Metazoa, Chordata, Aves, Anseriformes, Anatidae.
AAGAAAUUACUGUUCCUUGUCGACUUUUGUAAGGUGUUCACUGAAAGCAGUUAUAACAUUCCCAUUAACUUUUUUUUUUUUUUUUCUUUGCAGAAAGAGGCCAUUGCUGAAUGCUUUAGACAACCCUAAUUGCAAAACCACAGGAGAAGCUUGACAGAUAACCAGCCACUGAAAAUGUUUGAGGAGCAGAAAUGCCUUCUUCAUUUGCAUUUCUGGUUUCCACAAAAAUUGUGUAGCUUCACAGUGACCAAGGCAGGUCAUAUAAGAGCUUAGUUAUCUAUUUUGCACACGCAGUUAUCCGUGCCAUUGUCACACCUGCUCAGCCUUCACAUCAGUCACUCUGUACAGUUUAGUCAAGCAGUCAAAUGGCUAAAGUUCUCAAAGUCCCCGUUCCAUAUAAUUUCCAUUCCUGCCAGGUGAGAAUGACCAUUAACUGGCUCAUAUUCCAGUUUUGCUUUAUUGAGCUGAACUCUGUUUAUAUUUGUCUUUGAAGUAACAUUUCUGGACAGUGAGAGAAGCUAGACUGACAGCCCUGAAGCCUGCUUUCUGUGAGCCUGUGGUCUCUUUGUCCGUGCCCACCUGUGGCCUAACAGGCCCCAAAUCUGUUGUGUGGAAGUUGCUGCUGCUCUGCUCGGGAAAGAAGGACGCAGUAACUCCAGCACCUCCUCUUCGGUGUGCAGAACCUGAGUAUUUGUGCUUGCUCUUAGCCUGUUUUAAAUGGGUACCUGGGAAGAGUUUCCGAAAUCUCAUCUCACAGCCAUCGACCAACAGCCCCCAGGUGUCUCAAUGGCCAGGGGUGUUCCCGGAUGGAUCCCCCAGGGAUAAAACCCAUCUUACUUGGCCACGUGGACAUGUCCUUGCAGGUACACUGUGCACAUCCCCAGAUCCUCUGCAGAGAUGCAGCACCAAGGCAGGGGACAGAAGGGAUCUGGGGAGUCUGGGGGUCACAAGGGAGAGCUGGGAGAGCAGCAGGAGAAAUGGGGAUGGAAUCAGGCACCAACUUUCAGUGCCACCCUUAGUGUGCUACUGUGGGAAAAUGACCCCUAAUUGUUAUGUUUUCUCCUCUCUUCGAAGGGUCUUGGAUGAUCUUCAACAGCCCUUUAACUCUCAAACUGGCCCAUGUCAGAGGAUGUGCUCUGUGCCCGUGCAGCUAAGGGCAGGAUGCUGCUGGAUGGCUGAAUGGCCUUUGGGGCAGAAACCUGUUUUUACUGGAGACCUCAUCCUCCUUUUCUAGGUCAGAGACUUUUGAAGUCUAUUCCCACAUCUUCAUUUUUUUCCUGAGCAUCUUCUGUGCAGUGAUUGGAGUGCUGUAUGUGCUCCUCCGUAUUUACCCUUAUUUGCAGAUAAACAAACAAACAAAAGAAAAAACUGACCUUAUUCCCUCCUUGUAUUCAUCACCCGAUUUACAUUUCAUUUAUUUCUGUAGCCCCGAACAGACAUUAGUAACUCGUACGGGUAAUAAUAGGAGUUUCUACUAAUAGAACUCCUUCCAUCUGUGGAGUUCAAAUUAUGGACAAGCACCAUUAGUCCCAUUUAGAGAUGGAUUUAGCCGGUGCAACUUGUCCAAAUGCAGACACGGCUGCAAGAAUCAGGAAGGAAAUGCAAAGGCUCCUGAUUUCAACCCCAGACUCAGCUCAGCUGAUCUGCUACAGCCAUUUCGGAGGGUGGGGGGUGGGGCACAUGCACCAUCAUUCAAAAGACAAGAUGUGAGGGAUGCUCAGGAAGAAAAUGAAGCUCACCUCUGGAGCCUGCUGAAUUUCACAAGGUUGUCCCAAAGCAGCAAGAGGAGCAAUGUCCCGAGCUUUGGCCUCGAUACUUAUCAGCAUGAAAAAACCAUGAGCGUGAAAUCAAACAACAGGCUUCAAAUGGGAGCUACAAUGACUCUAAUUUGUAUGUACCAUUAUUUGAUCUUCUAACCUACUAGGUUUAAGGUAAACCACAGCGGAAUAUCAAGCAGACAUUAAAUGAAACAGUGUCAUUAAUUCAAUCCAAUGAGAUAUGUUUUAUAUAACAAAGGGAUUUGUUCUGAUACUCAAACAAUGUAUAUAAAUGAAAGAGUCGAAAUAGAUUCAUUUUGUUCUCAAAGCAAACACAUUAAGGAAAGCCAUCAAGAAGUAAAGAGCACGGCGUGUUUUUUUUUUUUUUUUAAACUGUGCUUUAUUUAGGGCUAAGCUGGAAAGCGUCAUUCAAUAAUUACAGAAGAUUACAAGGAGUUUUAGGGAAUUGAGAGUGAAAGAGCAGUUGUAUGGAACUGCAGCUGCGUUACACAUCUGUACUUCCUAGCUGUGGGCUCAGUCUUGCUGUCCUUACUCAGGUAGAAUACCCAAAUAUCCCCAUGGGGUAUCUGCCAGAGUAAGGACGGGAGGAUAGGCCCAGUAGGGAAUUUUUUUUUAAAAAAGAAAAAAAAAGAAAAAAAGAAAAAAAAAAAGAAAGGAAGGAAGAAAGAAGUUUGAGAUCAAGAUAAAAAAAUACUAAGAAAAACAAAUAAGAACAUUAAAACAGAGUAAAACCGAAUAAAGAAUCAGAAACAAUUAUCACACUGCUCAGUUGAAGCAAACAAGUGUGAGAAUGAUGUAAAUCAAGUUUUAAGACUGUGAAAAUAAAUUAUAAUAAAUAUGAUAUACUUUAAAAUAUAUGUGUUCUUAAAUAAUUCAUUGUUUUUUUUCUGAGUCAGAUUUUUUAAAGCAAUGUCUUAUUUUUAACUGCUCUAAAGUCAUUUACCAAAGAUAAAUAUCGUGCUUUCAUUAAAUAGUUUUCCUUGUUUUUCUCUAUCAUUACAAUUAAAAGUCCUACAAAAUAUGCAAAUUUAUUUACAGAAAAACGGAGCCAGCAUCUUUUUUUUAUUUUUUAAACAUCCCCCUGUUUCUCAAAAUUCCUUGUAAACAGUUGCAGAAAUUCUUCAAAGAGAUUGUUUUCUUUAUCUUAUGGUUUACUUGAUUUUUUUUUAUUUUUAUUUUUUUAUUUUUUUAUUUUUUUAUUUAUUUUUUAUUUUUUUAUUUUUUUUUAUUUUUUUAUUUUUUAAGAUUAAGGUUCUAGGCUAACCCCUUGCCCUGAAGGUUUCUAGAGCAAAUAUGGAAGCUACUGAAGCAUAGGAUGAUGGGAAUUUUGCGGACAGCAGAUCAUGAAGACAUGAAGCGUUUAGCUGUGUUUUGUUGUUCAAGUUAGAACUAACGUCUGAUAAAAAGACAGCUGUUUUGUUUCCCAUUUGCAUUGUCUACAGAAUCGAGUUUUGUUUUGUUUAUUUUUUUUAAUAGCUGGAAUGCUUGCAGUUAAAAAAGCUGCCAAAAUAGCCAUUUCUCUCCUUUUUCUCCUCGAUAAAUAACAGCAUCCAACAGCAUUGGCAGAGUAGGAAUUUAUGCUCAAUCUAAACUCUACAAAAUUACAGUUCUACAACAUCUUUGUUUUUAGCAUUAACGCUAACUUCUAUGUAGUAUUUUUUUUUGCUUUUUUGUUUUUUUUUAUUUUUAUGUUGUCUAAUUUUUUCUAUUAUAUAGGUAUUUUAAACUUUCUUUCUUUAAAUUCUGUACAACUAUUAGGAUUUUAAAUGGGGAGAGUUAGAAGCAUUUACAAACCUUUUUUGUUUUCCAUUUUAAUAUCAACCAUCUUUCCUUUCUCUUUUCUAUGCCUUUUAAUGUAUUUAUUUAUGUAUUUAUUUAUUUUUUUUUUUUGCUUUUCAUAGAUAUCCAUCUUACCUGCC